CCUCCUAUCCAGUGGCCUGCAUGUUCCCACUCACUCCUCCUAUCCAGUCGCCUGCAUGUUCCCAUCACUCCUCCUAUCAGAUGGCCUGCAUGUUCCCACUCACUCCUCCUAUCCAAUGGCCUGCAUGUUCCCACUCACUCCUCCUAUCCAAUGGCCUGCAUGUUCCCACUCACUCCUCCUAUCCAGUGGCCUGCAUGUUCCCACUCACUCCUCCUAUCCAAUGGCCUGCAUGUUCCCACUCACUCCUCCUAUCCAGUGGCCUGAGAGUUCCCACUCACUCCUCCUAUCCAGUGGCCGGCACGUUCCCACUCACUCCCCUAUCCAGUGGCCUGCAUGUCCCCACUCACUCCUCCUAUCCAGUGGCCUGCAUGUUCCCACUCACUCCUCUUAUCCAGUGGCCUGCACGUUCC
Oncorhynchus tshawytscha (Chinook salmon) is the source of this 410-nucleotide long non-coding RNA. Lineage: Eukaryota; Metazoa; Chordata; Actinopteri; Salmoniformes; Salmonidae. The record is from Ensembl.